AUGGAAAAAUUCGAAGGGUAUUCAAAAAAACAUAAAUCUCGUCAACAAUACUUUGUCUACCCACUUCUCUUUCAGGAAUAUAUUUAUGCAUUUGCCCACCAUUAUGGAUUAAAUGGUUCUGAACCUGUGGAAAUAGUUGUUAGUUGUAAUAACAAGAAAUUUAGUUCACUACUUGUGAAACGUUUAAUUAUUCGAAUGUAUCAGCAGAAUUUUUUGGAUAACUCGGUUAAUCAUCCUAACCAAGAUCGAUUAUUGGAUUACAAAAAUUAUUUUUAUUCUGAGUUUUAUUCUCAGAUUCUAUCUGAAGGGUUUGCGAUCGUUGUGGAAAUCCCAUUCUCGCUACGGGAAUUAUUUUGUCCGAAAGAAAAAGAAAUACCAAAGUUUCAGAAUUUACGCUCUAUUCAUUAA
RNAcentral lists this ribosomal RNA (408 nucleotides) under Triticum aestivum (bread wheat). RNAcentral describes it as "partial small subunit ribosomal RNA". The record is from RNAcentral. Lineage: Eukaryota; Viridiplantae; Streptophyta; Magnoliopsida; Poales; Poaceae.